This 30-nucleotide small RNA is filed under the name Bombyx mori (domestic silkworm). RNAcentral describes it as "ovarian small RNA-32456". Lineage: Eukaryota; Metazoa; Arthropoda; Insecta; Lepidoptera; Bombycidae. The record is from RNAcentral.
UGAUAGUCAGCAGCGAGCGCCUCCGCUUCC